GAGUUUGAUCCUGGCUCAGGACGAACGCUGGCGGUCUGUUUGAACACAUGCAAGUUGAACGAAGCUUUUUAGGCUUAGUAGCGAACGGGUGAGGAGAGGACAAAAAUCUACCCUAAAGACGAGGAUACCCAUUGGAAACGAUGGUUAAUAGUCGAUAUGCUUUACAGGGAAAGGUUCCACCUCCGGGGCGAUACCCGGUGACAUGAGCCGCUUUAGGAUGAGUUUGUUCCUGAUUAGCUUGUUGGUACGGUAAAAGCGUCCCAAGGCUUCGAUCAGUCGUUGGUCUGCGAGGAUGAUCAACCACAUUUGAACUGAGACACGGUCAAAACUCCUACGGGAGGCAGCAGUGGGGAAUCUUCUGCAAUGAGCGAAAGCUUGACAGAGCAAGACCGCGUGGGGGAUGACGGUUCAAGAAUUGUAAACCCCUUUUCUUGAAGAAGAAGAUAUGACGGUAUUCAAGGAAUAAGUGGCGUCUAACUCUGUGCCAGCAGACGCGGUAAUACAGGGGCCACAAGUGUUGUCCGAUGUUAUUGGGCUUAAAGCGUCUGCAGGUGGUAUGACACGUCAAAGAUUAAAGACCACUGCUUAACGGUGAUUCGGUCUUUGAUACGGUCAUACUUGAGUUCGGGAAACGUCGAGGGAGCUCCCGGUGGAGUGGUGAGAUGCGUAGAGAUCGGGAAGAACACCAACAGCGAAGGCACUCGACGAGCCCAGAACUGACACUCAGAGACGAAAGCUGUGGGAGCAACAAGGAUUAGAUACCCUUCUAGUCACAGCUGUAAACUAUGAAAACUAGGCGUUGGGAACCUUACGGAACUCAGUGUCGUCGCGAAAGCAUUAAGAUUUCCGCCUGGGAAGUACGGUCGCAAGACUGAAACUCAAAGGAAUUGGCGGGAACCCGCACAAGCAGUGUAUCAUGUGGUUUAAUUCGAUGCUAAGCGAAAAACCUUACCAAAACUUGUAUCCCGGAAAGUUUGUUGAAGAGCAAAUGUGCCCUUUGGGAAUCCGGUGACGGGUGGUGCAUGGCUGUCGUCAGCUCGUGAUGUAAAUUGUCAGCUUAAGUGCUUUAACGAGCGAAACCUCUGUCUGUAAUUACCUUUUUUUUACAGAGACUGCCAGUGAUAAAUUGGAGGAAGGUGGAGAUGAAGUCAAGUCAGCAUGCCCCUUAUGUUUUGGGCUACACGCGUGAUACAAUGGGAAAGACAAAGAGAUGUAAGGUCGCGAGGCGGUAACAAACCUCAAAAACUUUCCCUCAGUUCGGAUUGAAGGCUGCAACUCGCCUCCAUGAAGGCGGAAUUGCUAGUAAUCGUGGAUCAGCAUGCCACGGUGAAUAUGUUCUCGGGUUUUGCACACACCGCCCGUC
RNAcentral lists this ribosomal RNA (1363 nucleotides) under uncultured marine eukaryote. RNAcentral's name for it is "bacterial SSU rRNA". It matches the Rfam family "Bacterial small subunit ribosomal RNA". The record is from RNAcentral.